GUGGGAGUAGCAAAGCUGGCUAAUGCAACGGCCUGCAAAGCCGUCAUCCGUUGGUUCAAAUCCGACCUCCCACUCCA
RNAcentral lists this transfer RNA (77 nucleotides) under Caudoviricetes sp. RNAcentral's name for it is "tRNA-Cys". It matches the Rfam family "tRNA". From Rfam's summary of the family: Transfer RNA (tRNA) molecules are approximately 80 nucleotides in length. Their secondary structure includes four short double-helical elements and three loops (D, anti-codon, and T loops). Lineage: Duplodnaviria; Heunggongvirae; Uroviricota; Caudoviricetes. The record is from RNAcentral.